Molecule: long non-coding RNA, 2232 nt
Organism: Lycium barbarum (goji berry)
Lineage: Eukaryota; Viridiplantae; Streptophyta; Magnoliopsida; Solanales; Solanaceae
Exons: 4
Source: RefSeq, a predicted model, not a curated record
CCUUUAGUUUCUCCACAAUGUGUAUGAGUUUUUCAUCAGUUUCAAAAUUGUCUCCCUAAAAGUUCUUUUACCCAAAUCCCAAUAAUUAACCACCCGUCUUUAAGAAAAAAAAAACAUAAAAACAAAUACAGCCAAGUGAUGAGCGAGAGAGAAGCCGGAGUAGGCAACAGACGAAGGCAAGUAGUCUCCAUACAUUUUGUUGAUAUAUCAGAUGGAGCUCAGUAUUCGUCUUACAUACUAUAGGACUCUUCAGAGUUUCAUUAAUUCUGUCAUUUCAAGUUCAACAAAAAUUUUGAAGAUUCCGAGUUCAUUUUUUGAUAAUUUAACUCUUGGGUUUCUCUCUCAUUUCGAGUUCAGCAAGCAUUUUGAAGAAAGAUGUUGGGAGAAUGCAUCACCAGCAGCAGUUUAGUGUAUGUGAUGGUGAUUUGAGGAAUCUUUGCAGGGCCGAUGUUUUAGAGAAUUGAAGACUCAAAAGAAAAGCAAGGGCAAUAGAGAAGGUAAUAUUUCAUCCUUUGAGAGCUUAUACUAGAGUCUCCAGAGACACCAAGAAGCAAUAUAAAUAUCACCAAUAGACAUGAUGCUCCUGAGUGUGUGUGGACUGAAAGAAGCAGAAACUCUAUCACGAGAACAUCCUUCAACAAGAAGACAAUGGAAUGGAUCAUUCAGAUCUUGCGAGAAGCUUCUAAGACGAGGGGGAAUCUGGUGAAAAGAUGCAAGAAGAAAGAUAACUUCUCAGAAGUGUUUGGCGCCAUAAAUUUUACCAAAUAUAGAAGGAGAUCGGUUAUAAUUAUUCCUAAACUGACGUUUAACUAAAGGUUGGGUGUUUAUCGCAGAGAAAGUUGGUAGAUUCAUUAAUAGUCACACGAAUGAGGGCAAGCUAGAGGAAUUCAGGCUAGUUGACAAUAAAAUUCCUUAUGCUGAAGCCGUUAAGAGCAUUAAAUGGGCAAAUAGGGAGGACAAGGAGACAGUUGCAAAAUGCACAUUAAAUGGGGUGGGGGUGGGGGGUGGGGUGGGGAAGAACAUGCAUUAAUGAUUUUUCAACAUCACAGAAUGAAGUUUUAAAAGGGGAGCUUGGUGGGCUUUUUCAAGAUCAAAACUAGUGUCACACCAACCCUACAAGAAGUCAGGAGAUGGUCCAACAGCCUAUGGAAACAAGCACAUGGAUUGAACAUUUAUGAGAUGGGAGAAGGUUAUUUCCUCUUUGAGUUCGCUUCAAGAGUUACGACAGAGCAAGUAAUUGUAGGGGACUGGGUCUGUAAAAAUCUUCCAGUCAAACUACAAUGGUGGAAUCCGAUGAUAGGUGUAAUGGGAGAGAAAGUAGACCCAGCUCAACUUGGGUCAGAAUUGUAGGCUUACAACUACACUUCUAGUCCUAGAAAUUCUUUAGAGCCAUUGGAAACCAUUGUAGAGGUUGGGUAGAGACGGAAGAGGAAACACAAUUGUGUAAUCAUCUUAAAUGGGCGAGGAUUAAAAUCAGAGGUGACGGUACCAACAUACCCAAGGAGGUGCAUAUUGAAGAUGGUCAUUUUUGCUACACUAUGCAAAUGUGGGCCGAAACUCUGGUAAAGGUGGUCGCCGGAGAAGAAAGCAAUUCAAAAACCUUUAACUAGCAAUCAUAAAGCUUUAAACCAAAGGGUAAAGAGGUAGAAGGCUGUUUAUUCAGUCUGGUAGAAAACAGGGGAGAAAUCACGUGAAAUUGCAAAGGCACGUGAAAAAGCCAGGAAAACUUUUUAAAUGUCAAUUGGGCCUGGGGUCUCUGCUCUGAAAGUAACACAGGAUCAAAGCCCAAAAUUUUCAAUAGGCCAAACUUCAAAAAACCCGCCUAUUAAGUCACUUAAACUACCAGAAGAGGCACGUGAUGGGCAUGUGGACCUCCUAAAAGGAUUGGAAGGAAUUAAAUCACUAGCAACAAAAUUCCUAGAGGCGUACAAUGACUGGGAAACUUCUUUGAUGGUUACAAGCUCCAAACUCUUAUCAAAACUUCAUCUGAGAGAGGGAAACACUUUGCAAAUAGCGGAAACAGAACAAAGCAGCGGAGAAUACACAGAUAUUAUCUGUUCAACAUUCACAAUUCAUGAUAAUACACUGAGAGACAUAUUGAUAAGCAUAACACUGAAAUACUGGUAUUAGUGAACUGAUUAUGGAAUGUAAAGCAUCAACUGGUUAUACACUGACUGAGACUCAUGUGAUGUCAAUACACGAGUCUAUACUGAUUACAUAAUAUUCGAAAUA